Molecule: ribosomal RNA, 440 nt
Filed under: uncultured bacterium
Lineage: Bacteria
Description: partial 16S ribosomal RNA
Rfam family: Bacterial small subunit ribosomal RNA
Source: RNAcentral
CCUACGGGUGGCAGCAGUGGGGAAUAUUGCACAAUGGGGGAAACCCUGAUGCAGCGACGCCGCGUGAGUGAAGAAGUAUUUCGGUACGUAAAGCUCUAUCAGCAGGGAAGAAAAUGACGGUACCUGACUAAGAAGCCCCGGCUAACUACGUGCCAGCAGCCGCGGUAAUACGUAGGGGGCAAGCGUUAUCCGGAUUUACUGGGGGUAAAGGGAGCGUAGACGGCAGCGCAAGUCUGGAGUGAAAUCCCAUGGCUGAACCAUGGAACUGCUGUGGAAACUGUGCAGCUAGAGUGCAGGAGAGGUAAGCGGAAUUCCUAGUGUAGCGGUGAAAUGCGUAGAUAUUAGGAGGAACACCAGUGGCGAAGGCGGCUUACUGGACUGUAACUGACGUUGAGGCUCGAAAGCGUGGGGAGCAAACAGGAUUAGAUACCCCUGUAGUC